This 226-nucleotide ribosomal RNA is filed under the name Bradyrhizobium sp. Its description in RNAcentral is "partial 16S ribosomal RNA". It matches the Rfam family "Bacterial small subunit ribosomal RNA", at positions 1316 to 1533 of the family's 1533-position model. Lineage: Bacteria; Pseudomonadati; Pseudomonadota; Alphaproteobacteria; Hyphomicrobiales; Nitrobacteraceae. The record is from RNAcentral.
GUGCAUGAAGUUGGAAUCGCUAGUAAUCGCGGAUCAGCACGCCGCGGUGAAUACGUUCCCGGGCCUUGUACACACCGCCCGUCACACCAUGGGAGUUGGUUUUACCCGAAGGCGUUCUGUUAACUCAGCAAUGAGAGGCGGACGACCACGGUAGGGUCAGCGACUGGGGUGAAGUCGUAACAAGGUAGCCGUAGGGGAACCUGCGGCUGGAUCACCUCCUUUCUGG